AUGCUUAACACAUGCAAGUCGAACGAGAAAGGGUAGCAAUACCUGAGUACAGUGGCGCACGGGUGAGUAACACGUGACUAACCUACCUCCGAGUGGGGAAUAACUGAGAGAAAUCUUAGCUAAUACCGCAUAACACUUACGAGUCAAAGCAGCAAUGCGCUUGGAGAGGGGGUCGCGGCAGAUUAGUUAGUUGGCGGGGUAAUGGCCCACCAAGACGAUGAUCUGUAUCCGGCCUGAGAGGGCGCACGGACACACUGGAACUGAAACACGGUCCAGACUCCUACGGGAGGCAGCAGUGGGGAAUUUUGCGCAAUGGGGGAAACCCUGACGCAGCAACGCCGCGUGGAGGAUGAAGCCCCUUGGGGCGUAAACUCCUUUCGACCAAGACGAUAAUGACGGUACUGGUGGAAGAAGCACCGGCUAACUCUGUGCCAGCAGCCGCGGUAAUACAGAGGGUGCGAGCGUUGUUCGGAAUUAUUGGGCGUAAAGGGCGCGUAGGCGGUGCCACAAGUCUGGGGUGAAAUCGUUCGGCUUAACCGGACCAGUGCCUUGGAUACUGGGAGACUCGAGGGAGGUAGGGGCAGGUGGAACUUCCGGUGGAGCGGUGAAAUGCGUAGAUAUCGGAAGGAACACCAGUGG
This 639-nucleotide ribosomal RNA is filed under the name uncultured bacterium. RNAcentral's name for it is "bacterial SSU rRNA". It matches the Rfam family "Bacterial small subunit ribosomal RNA", at positions 44 to 715 of the family's 1533-position model. The record is from RNAcentral.